UACGUAGGGGCUAGCGUUGUCCGGAAUCAUUGGGCGUAAAGAGCGUGUAGGCGGCCCGGUAAGUCCGCUGUGAAAGUCGGGGGGCUCAACCCUCGAAUGCCCGGUGGAUACUGUCGGGCUAGAGUGCGGAAGAGGCGAGUGGAAGUCCUGGUGUAGCGGUGAAAUGCGCAGAUAUCAGGAGGAACACCAAUGCGAAGGCAGCUCGCUGGGCCACACCUGACGCUGAGACGCGAAAGCUAGGGGGAGCGAAACAGG
Molecule: ribosomal RNA, 255 nt
Filed under: uncultured bacterium
Lineage: Bacteria
Description: partial 16S ribosomal RNA
Rfam family: Bacterial small subunit ribosomal RNA
Source: RNAcentral